Capsella rubella is the source of this 163-nucleotide small nucleolar RNA. It matches the Rfam family "Small nucleolar RNA snoR136". Lineage: Eukaryota; Viridiplantae; Streptophyta; Magnoliopsida; Brassicales; Brassicaceae. The record is from Rfam.
GUGGCUUUUACAUGAAUAUAGAUAAAGAUCCAUGCUUUGAAUAUGUUUUUGACAUUUGAAGCUUGUUGUGAAAGUGUAUUAGCCUACAGCAAAUUUAGUUUCCCUCGCUAUCCUGUUCUUCAAUUUUUAAUGAUGUUUCUUAGGACGUCGGGGAACAAUAUUU